GACGAACGCUGGCGGCGUGCUUAACACAUGCAAGUCGAACGGAAAGGCCCUGCUUUUGUGGGGUGCUCGAGUGGCGAACGGGUGAGUAACACGUGAGUAACCUGCCCUUGACUUUGGGAUAACUUCAGGAAACUGGGGCUAAUACCGGAUAGGAGCUCCUGCUGCAUGGUGGGGGUUGGAAAGUUUCGGCGGUUGGGGAUGGACUCGCGGCUUAUCAGCUUGUUGGUGGGGUAGUGGCUUACCAAGGCUUUGACGGGUAGCCCGCCUGGGAGGGUGACCGGCCACAUUGGGACUGAGAUACGGCCCAGACUCCUACGGGAGGCAGCAGUGGGGAAUAUUGCACAAUGGGCGGAAGCCUGAUGCAGCAACGCCGCGUGCGGGAUGACGGCCUUCGGGUUGUAAACCGCUUUCGCCUGUGACGAAGCGUGAGUGACGGUAAUGGGUAAAGAAGCACCGGCUAACUACGUG
This 468-nucleotide ribosomal RNA is filed under the name uncultured bacterium. RNAcentral's name for it is "partial 16S ribosomal RNA". It matches the Rfam family "Bacterial small subunit ribosomal RNA", at positions 28 to 507 of the family's 1533-position model. The record is from RNAcentral.